RNAcentral lists this ribosomal RNA (468 nucleotides) under uncultured bacterium. RNAcentral's name for it is "partial 16S ribosomal RNA". It matches the Rfam family "Bacterial small subunit ribosomal RNA", at positions 28 to 507 of the family's 1533-position model. The record is from RNAcentral.
GACGAACGCUGGCGGCGUGCUUAACACAUGCAAGUCGAACGGAAAGGCCCUGCUUUUGUGGGGUGCUCGAGUGGCGAACGGGUGAGUAACACGUGAGUAACCUGCCCUUGACUUUGGGAUAACUUCAGGAAACUGGGGCUAAUACCGGAUAGGAGCUCCUGCUGCAUGGUGGGGGUUGGAAAGUUUCGGCGGUUGGGGAUGGACUCGCGGCUUAUCAGCUUGUUGGUGGGGUGGUGGCUUACCAAGGCUUGGACGGGUAGCCGGCCUGAGAGGGUGACCGGCCACAUUGGGACUGAGAUACGGCCCAGACUCCUACGGGAGGCAGCAGUGGGGAAUAUUGCACAAUGGGCGGAAGCCUGAUGCAGCAACGCCGCGUGCGGGAUGACGGCCUUCGGGUUGUAAACCGCUUUCGCCUGUGACGAAGCGUGAGUGACGGUAAUGGGUAAAGAAGCACCGGCUAACUACGUG